This is a non-coding RNA of Anopheles epiroticus, 1292 nucleotides long. The record is from Rfam. Lineage: Eukaryota; Metazoa; Arthropoda; Insecta; Diptera; Culicidae.
UAUCAGGUUGAUUCUGCCUGACGUGGAUGCUCGCCUUAAAGACUAAGCCAUGCAAGUUUGUGAGUUGAGCAGCGAACGGCUCAGUAGAACAGUGAACUCUAACGCACGGAAUAGAUAACCGCGGGAAACUGCGGCUAAGAAGUGUGAUGAGGCACUGACCUAUCAGCUUGUCGGUACGGUAAGUGCGUACGGAGGCGAUGACGGGUAACGGAGGAUUUUGUCCGAUUCCGGAGAGGGAGCCUGAGAGACGGCUGCCACGUCCAAGGACGGCAGCAGGCGCGAAAAUUACCCAAUGAGCAUUGAGGUAGUGACGAGGCGUAGAAUGUGAGUCGAGAGUAAAGAUAUCGACGAGAGCGACUGGAGGGCAAGUCUGGUGCCAGCAGCCGCGGUAAUUCCAGCUCCAGGGGCGUCUGUGUGUGUUGCUGCGGUUAAAAAGCGCGUAGUCGGCAGUGUAGCGGGUCAUUGUGGUGUGGAAUUCAGAUACACUGUGCGACUUUUGCUCAUUGCUAGGGAGCGUGAGACGCUGGUGGUAUUCGGUAGCGAGGGGUGAAAACUGCAGACCUACCGAGGAGCGACAGAGGCGUAAGCGGCCAGCGAGUGCGGAUCCGACGAUCAAGCGCGUGGGCAGGAGUAUCGAAGACGAUUAGAGACCGUCGUAGUUCCUGCAGUAAACGAUGCCGACAUGGUUGACAUGUGUUGACCAAAGGGAAACCUAGUGUACGGGCUCCGGGGAGAGUACGGGCGCAAGCCAGAAACUUGAAGAAAUUGACGGAAGGACACCACCAGGCGUGGAGUGUGCGGGUUAAUUUGACUCAACGCGGGGCAACUUACCCGGGCCGCAGGAUCGCGAGAAGGACACCUGAUGAUCCUGCACGUGGUGCAUGGCCGUUCUCAACGCAAGGGGUGACCACUGAGUUAGUUCUGGCAAGUCGUGAGGCCCCUGUACAGAUGUAGACGGCUGGCGGCAAGCCAGAGGAAGCGAGGGCGUAUAACAGGUCUGUGAUGCCCGCAGAUGUCCGGGGCUCCACGCGCACUACAAUAGCAAAUGGUGCACGAGAGUAAGUUUGUUGUGGUUGGGAUUGACGCUUGUAAAUGCGUCAUGAACGAGGAAUGCCUAGUAGUUGUUUGUCAGAAGCGAGCAACGAAUAAGUCCCUGUUCUUUGUACACACCGCCCGUCGCUAUCUAAGAUGGUGGUGCGGAUGAAGGCUGCUCAGUGGCAAGAAUCCGUGCUGCUAGAUUGGAUACAAGUCGUAACAUGGUUGCAGUAGGUGAACCUGCCGCAGGAUCAAGA